CACAGAUGAGUCAGGGACUGAGUUUAAACCCUGCAGUGACUCAGUCUGGUUUAGAAACCAGUCAGGACACGGUUGAUCCUGAAGAUGGUGUUUCCUACGCCUCCAUCAGCUACACCAAGAAGACCAACAGUAGAGCCCGGGUUCGUGGUGAUGAUGAUGAUGAUGAUGAUGAUGCAGUGACUUACAGCACUGUGAAAGCUUCCUCCUCUUCAGCUGGAGCCUCCAUUGAUCUCAGCAACCUCUACGCUACUGUCAACUAACCCAACCAAUAAGAGACCACAGUAUAGUUACAGCUCCUCUCAUUACUUUCCUUUUUACAUUGAUGACUGAUCAGUUAACUUUAGCUGAAUUAAUAUUAUCCUGUUACUUCUCAUUUUUUACAUGAAUGUUUGUUUUUAUGAUGAA
Long non-coding RNA from Scomber scombrus (Atlantic mackerel), 405 nucleotides. RefSeq lists it as uncharacterized. Lineage: Eukaryota; Metazoa; Chordata; Actinopteri; Scombriformes; Scombridae. The transcript has 3 exons. The record is from RefSeq and is a predicted model, not a curated record.